Long non-coding RNA from Acanthochromis polyacanthus (spiny chromis), 216 nucleotides. RefSeq lists it as uncharacterized. NCBI's taxonomy places the organism in Eukaryota, Metazoa, Chordata, Actinopteri, Pomacentridae. The record is from RefSeq and is a predicted model, not a curated record. The transcript has 4 exons.
GGCAGCAUCGUGACGUGAAGCACGGUGGUGGCAGCAUCAUGACGUGAAGCACAGUGGUGGCAGCAUCAUGACGUGAAGCACAGUGGUGGCAGCAUCAUGACGUGAAGCACAGUGGUGGCAGCAUCAUGACGUGAAGCACAGUGGUGGCAGCAUCCUGACGUGAAGCACGGUGGUGGCAGCAUCAUGAUGUGAAGCACGGUGGUGGCAGCAUCGUGA